This 253-nucleotide ribosomal RNA is filed under the name uncultured bacterium. RNAcentral describes it as "partial 16S ribosomal RNA". It matches the Rfam family "Bacterial small subunit ribosomal RNA", at positions 524 to 776 of the family's 1533-position model. The record is from RNAcentral.
UACGGAGGGUGCAAGCAUUGAUCGGAAUUACUGGGCGUAAAGGGUGCGUAGGCGGCAGGACAAGUCGGAUGUGAAAUUCCGGGGCUCAACCCCGGAGCUGCAUUUGAAACUGUCCAGCUAGAGUAUAGUUAGGGUAAACGGAAUUCCACGUGUAGCGGUGAAAUGCGUAGAUAUGUGGAAGAACACCAGUGGUGAAGACGGUUUACUGGGCUAUAACUGACGCUGAGGCACGAAAGCAUGGGGAGCAAACAGG